UGGUAUUUCAGGCCGGGCACGCCGCGUGCGGCGGCGGCCUUUUCGACCGCGGCCUUGACCUGCGGAUUGGCCAUCACCACCGGGUCUUUGACCAGGUUGUCCACGUAGUCAUCGACCAUCGCCGCGAUGGCGUAGGUUCCGCCCAGGCGGUCGAACAGCGAUUUCUGAGACGCAGCGCGCGGCGCGGGGACCGGCUUGGCGGGCAUGAUUUCGGGCUUUGGCGGCUGCUGCGAUGCGUCGGUUGGCCCAGAACCAGCCAGCAUCGCGUAGGCCAACAGACAGCCAAUUACCAUCACGCCGAAUCCGCUUUUCACAAUGCGAUGUCCGAUGCACAUUUCUGAACUCCUUGGAAAUGAGGUUGAUCUUCCGGGUUGUCGCCCAUCAUUGCGGCAGUGGGAGA
Molecule: unclassified non-coding RNA, 400 nt
Filed under: uncultured Ascomycota
Lineage: Eukaryota; Fungi; Ascomycota
Description: sequence contains ITS1
Source: RNAcentral